CUGUUUUUUUUUUUUUUUUUUUUAAUUUUCCUAGUUGCAGAUGAUCAAAUUCUCAAUUAGUUUGCAAGUAGCCUGAGAGUGGAUUCGUUUUUAUUUUAUUUAUAUUUAGCCUAUUAACAAAUGGGUGAAUAUUUUGUGGAUAUUGGGUUUUUUAAUGGAGUGGGGCGUGGAAACAAUAGAAGAGAUGUUGGCAUGUUGUACUCCUCAAAAUAGGGAUGACUUUUAGUGAGGAAAUACAGUUGAUCAGUAUGUACAUUGUAUCAUAAAAGAAAUAUAUAAUUUUUUCCGUUUAAUUAAGUUUUUGUAACCUUUUGGAUCAUUUCAUCAUGAUGAGAUUAGCAUAGCAAUUUCCGAGGUUUCAAAUGUAGUAUUCCGGCUUCAUGGAAAUUAAAAAUAAAACUCAACAAACAAUAUAAGGCAUUGCUUUCCAAUGACCACUUGAUCUUGGAUUAUACUGGGUGAGCUAACUCAUUAUGACAAUGAGGUUGGGGGA
RNAcentral lists this long non-coding RNA (493 nucleotides) under Trifolium pratense (red clover). RNAcentral's name for it is "long non-coding RNA (TPRA_LNC004050)". Lineage: Eukaryota; Viridiplantae; Streptophyta; Magnoliopsida; Fabales; Fabaceae. The record is from RNAcentral.